AGUAGGAUAUAGAUUUGAUAUGUCAUUAAUAUAAUUUUGAUAUGAAAAUGUUAUCACUCAAUAUGAAGUGUGUAGAAUUUAAAUCGAGUUUAUUAUGAUAACAUAGAUAGUUAAACUGUAUUACAAAAUUGAAUGGUGUAAGAUAGAAAUUUGUUUUUU
RNAcentral lists this small RNA (159 nucleotides) under Arabidopsis thaliana (thale cress). RNAcentral's name for it is "ATSL215730". The record is from RNAcentral. Lineage: Eukaryota; Viridiplantae; Streptophyta; Magnoliopsida; Brassicales; Brassicaceae.